Long non-coding RNA from Spinacia oleracea (spinach), 1009 nucleotides. RefSeq lists it as uncharacterized. NCBI's taxonomy places the organism in Eukaryota, Viridiplantae, Streptophyta, Magnoliopsida, Caryophyllales, Amaranthaceae. The transcript has 4 exons. The record is from RefSeq and is a predicted model, not a curated record.
UAACAUAUAUUUAUUUAUAUUUAAAUAGAGUUGAUGAAUUUUAGUAAUAAAUUUAUAAUUAACACAUAUUUAUUUUAUUUUAAUUACGUUCUAAAUAUUUAACGAUUUAUGAAGUCAAAAUAGUUUAGAAUUUUACUUUGAAAAGAAUUCGAAUUUGGAAAACGAUCUUAAUCGGUUUUGAUCCAAACACUCAUACUCAAAUUCUAAUCCUAUCCCAAAUUGAUAAAGCCCAAAACAAAUAACCCAUAAUUGCCCAUCAUUGUUUUAAUUUCACGUAAACAAGAAUCUCUCUCCUCCCAAUUCACAAACCCACAACAAAGAAAAGAAAAAAAAGAAAAAGAACCACCUCUUUCCCUCCUUCACGUGCAUAUGCAAACCCUCAAACCUCCCCUUCCCCUCACGUGGACCUUGCUGAACUGUUGCACCCUUGCAGCGCCGCCAUAGCCGUCGACCAACCACCACACGGCCACCACUCCUCCACUAUUCGCCACCGUGUUGUCACUCACCACCACCAACAACGCACCACCGUCGUUGCUGCAGCCCCCUUGUCGCGCCGCACCGCCCAGCCGCGGCCUAGCUUUCCUCUUUUCUCCUCCACGCACAGCAACACCGUUCAUUCCUCCUUUUCGUUGUUGUUUCUCCCUGCUCUGCAAGCUGCGCCGCCUGCAAGACCACCGCGAGAACCUGCAACCACCAGUCGCGCCUCCUAGUCCCACUGUCGCGCCUCCCUACCGCCGGCAGUCCCUUCUCCUUUCUCCUCUUGAUUUGGCGGAGAAUUCUUUGUAGGCGACUUUUGAAUUCGUUAAAGUGGGCUAUCAGUUUGUUUACACAAGUCUCUAAGGAUCAAUAAGCGUUGCCCAUCUACAGGUCUGAAGAUGAUGCAUCAUUGGGAUCGGGACUAGAGAACUUGUAUUUAUUUUGUUUUGCUAAGUAACUUGGGUUUGUUAAUUUGGAUUUUAAACUUGUCAUACUAUUUAUAUUUACUAAAUCUCGUUGAUUGGUUUAUGAG